GGGCUAGAAGUGGUGUGUUUCAGCAACCAUGAAUGCAAAAUGGCCGAGCGUCCGCCGGAGGGGGAAAAAACAUUCUCUUUAUUGGGCAGGACCCACAUCCAUCUAGUUAUCUUCCUGAUUAGACCUUAGAUCAAAUGCUGGUCCAUUGUCAUCAAGUCAUGUGCCACUUGGGUUCUAUGGAAGUUGUCAAUUAGAUCCAGAUGUGGUAACUUUUUGUUCAAUAGCAACCCUAUCC
This 235-nucleotide long non-coding RNA is filed under the name Elaeis guineensis (African oil palm). Its description in RNAcentral is "long non-coding RNA (EGUI_LNC000832)". Lineage: Eukaryota; Viridiplantae; Streptophyta; Magnoliopsida; Arecales; Arecaceae. The record is from RNAcentral.